Molecule: long non-coding RNA, 2291 nt
Organism: Onychostoma macrolepis
Lineage: Eukaryota; Metazoa; Chordata; Actinopteri; Cypriniformes; Cyprinidae
Exons: 3
Source: RefSeq, a predicted model, not a curated record
CAGUCACGUGUAAAUCAACAGGCUAAAUAAAAUCACAGAUGUCCUGUGUUAAUAGUAAUUGUAACUCUAAUGUCGUUGGGGAAAAACCAAUAUAAUUUUAAUAGUGCUUUACUUCCUGUUCCUGACUUUGUUGACCUAUCUUUCUGGACUUGUCUGAAUUGAAUAUUUCCUCUUUCCUUUAUUUCUGCUGUUGGAUCAAACAUUUUCUUUGUCUCUAACAUUUUAAUCAGGAGCAACUACCACACCUUUCCUUCUGUAGUGCAUCCACAUUUGUUAUAAAAAUUUGUUCUGAACAUAUGAUUUCAGAAUCAUGAGGUGCUAUAUCUUGGUGAAGUUCGAUGUGCUAUGAACGUAUGACCAACUAAGCUGACAAAAGUUUGGAAUGCACAAUAUAAUUAAGUGUCAUCUGGGAAAAAAUUGUUAAAUGUCAAUUUCUUCUUUCAUAUAGGCUUUAUCCCAUUUCUGAAACUUUUACCUAACUCUGAGAGUUUUCUUUAGAGUUUAAAUAUAGGUGUAAAACACAAAGUCUGAAUGUUUGUUUGCAAUUCUAAAUAUUUCAUAUGAGACCAAGUGUUUUCCAGGCAAUGCUAUACGAGGGAGAAUAAAAGCUGCAUUUUGCAAAGGUGUAUCACCACAAAAUUGGUUUAAUAAUCUGGGUUCCACUCUUACCAUUACAUUAGUUUUAUUUUCCAAAGCCUAUACACUCAGAACUCAGGCUCAUUCAAACAGCCUCUCAAAACCAGCUGACUAAACCUUUCCAUGAGCCGGGGACACCCGGAUGACCCUCUGUCUCCACCUGAGGGAACAACAUGCUCUUUGAGUCCAGAAAGCGGACAGACGGAUUGUUGAUGCAUUCAGAAUGGCCUGACUCACCGUUUCCUGAGAAAGCUCCACUCCCAGUGCUGAACUGGCUGUCAUUCAGAGAAGGUCACGUCUUGGUGGUCAGUUGGCGCCAUGUACAGCUGAGAAGAAACAAAGGCUUUCAACAACACGUGAAGAGACCUAAAUAGGAAUUAUCCUAUGCUUUCUGUCAAAAUAAUUUGUGACAUAACUCGGGGGGCACAUUCCAGGAAGGGUCACCCAGCUUGUUGGGAAGCACCAGUGAGGAAGGGGAAACAAACACCAUAAGGGGUCAUCCAGUUUCACCCAAGCUAAUCCAAGUUUGGCAUGGGUUUUUUCGACUGGCGGAGCACUUAGAGCUGCUGAGGAACCCCUGAAGAUUCUUCCACCAAACUGAACAUUUUCUGAAGUGGACAACUGUGAUGAUCCGAUCACCUGGCUGUGUUUAAGAGGUCUAUUGAGGAGCAAAGUUCUGGAGAAAGAUGCUUCAUCACAUUUCCUGUCUCAACUUAAUCUUAAUCUCUAUUCUUUUGGGACAGCAUUGAGUCAUGGACAGAAAAGUACACGCAAAGCAACUUGCAGUUGGUAUUGACAGAAUGAGUCAGUAAGUUAAAAAAACAAGAGCACCGGAGGUAGUUUUGUCUAAAAACUUACAUUUGAAAAUUCCACCUCGCUGAACAAUCUUAACUCAUAAAGAAGUGUUAGAUGUUUACUGCCAGCUCAGCGUCUCCAUUGGUAGUCACAGUGGUGCUCUGGAAAUGAAUCUUUGGGAACAAGAAGAUAGAAUCUAGCAUGAGUCACGCACAGAACAAACUCAUCAGUCCACAAUUUGCAUGAGUCUAGUUUUUAAGAGACGAGCAAGGAAAAGAUGUUUUGAGAGCUACUACAGAUAUUUAGCACACAUGUGAAAGUAUAAAAAAACAUAAAACAAAUAAAUGUAUUUUGCAAUUCAGAUUGGGGCGUCUAGUGCAGAAAUCGCACACUUCACCUUUAACUUCUGAAGGACCUCGGGUCCUUUCUCAGUUUGGAUAUCCACAGGAAUGCUUUAACCGAGUCAGUUUCGUUUGCUGCGCAAAUAAUAAAUAUCCCCCAAUGCCAGAAGCUUCAUUUAAAUGGAUUCCUUAUCACUGCGGUGGCUGCCUUUCAGAAAAUUAUUUUAUUUCUAAAAUAGUCUUGAGCUAAUAUUUACAGAUGCUAAAGAAGGCACUUGUGGUGAAAGAGAGCACAAGAUGAGCCCUAGCUCUGAAUUAAGCUUCCAGAUACCACACAGCUCCAAAACGGAUGAAACUGGCCACUGACGCAAAUCCUGAGAGACAGUGUGCAAUCCAAGACACCGCCACAUAUUUCCCUCCUCUGUGUGUCUCUGUCUUGUAUUUUUUUAUGUCUCUGUUAACAGGACUUCUCAGAAGUGAAUGCAAUGUGUCAUUAUGUUACAUUACAGGUUCUUUAAA